Ornithodoros turicata is the source of this 379-nucleotide long non-coding RNA. RefSeq lists it as uncharacterized. The transcript has 3 exons. Lineage: Eukaryota; Metazoa; Arthropoda; Arachnida; Ixodida; Argasidae. The record is from RefSeq and is a predicted model, not a curated record.
UCUGCAGCGCGCACUUCGUUGACAACUGCGUCAGUAAUAUCGAGGGCCAUCCUUCCUAUGUGCCAACGAUUUUCCCGCCAGUGUACCGGAAGAAAGCCCCCGAUGCGGGAAGACACAAAAGGUGGAUGCAACGGAAACACAAUGCGGUGCACAGUCUGCAAAAAACCUGUCAAGGCAUGUUAACAACAGACACACCGGAGCCCUCUGCCCUGCCCGAUGAGCAUGACCAAGAACGGAGCGAGGACGAACAGCUCGACAUACUAGCAGAUAUUGCUUCAGCUGCCCCAAGGCUACCGACAUACAGAGAUGUGGGUACAGAAACUGAAAGCUCGUCCCAUGCUGGCUCACUUAAGAUGAUGUUGUCCGUAACUGACGGGGU